This 138-nucleotide ribosomal RNA is filed under the name uncultured bacterium. RNAcentral's name for it is "partial 16S ribosomal RNA". It matches the Rfam family "Bacterial small subunit ribosomal RNA", at positions 355 to 509 of the family's 1533-position model. The record is from RNAcentral.
UGGGGAAUAUUGCACAAUGGGGGAAACCCGUGAUGCAGCGACGCCGCGUGAAGGAUGAAGUAUUUCGGUAUGUAAACUUCUAUCAGCAGGGAAGAAAAUGACGGUACCUGACUAAGAAGCCCCGGCUAACUACGUGCC